This is a long non-coding RNA of Patella vulgata (common limpet), 6493 nucleotides long. RefSeq lists it as uncharacterized. NCBI's taxonomy places the organism in Eukaryota, Metazoa, Mollusca, Gastropoda, Patellidae. The record is from RefSeq and is a predicted model, not a curated record. The transcript is spliced from 5 exons.
CAUCGGUCUAGUUAAUAUAUAUAUACGUCAUUGAGAUAAACACUCAUUUCAGUUCUAUUUGGUUCACUAAGCGACUGGUUAAUUGUGUCUGUUUGGAAAGGGAGGUCACUCUGCGAUAACUUUAAAGAUCGAAAUAGAAAUCCUGGAGCGGAUGUGAGUUGCGAGGAUGCCCAGAGGAUGCAAAGAGGAUACAGUGGACGUUUAACGGAUGAUAACGGACAUGGAACGUUUGGUGCUCGUAUAUGUUGUGCAUUUACAUCGUACAUGGCAGAAAGUUCGUCCGUUAUAAAAGUUUUGUGCAGCUCAAAAGUUUUUGCGCGGAUGAAAUCAAAGUGAACGGAUGCUCGAUGGAUAGAGCGUAUGAAACACCCCGUACCGAAAUGAAGUGUACACUUCCUCCGAAGUGUUCAUUUCCAACACACUUCUAUAGACACUCGAUUGAAACAAAUAAGUGAAUGUACUGAAAUAUGGCGUCUGUCUAAAAAUAGGUCAUUAGCGGGGUUCGCUCUUCACGGAGUCCAAGUACUAGAUACGCAGCUUAUUAUUGCGAUAUCCCCCCUUUCUGUAUCGAGGAAAUGUAAUCCUGUAUUCAUUAUUUACACAUAAUAAUUAAUCAUAUUGGUGGUUAUUCGCUGUUUCGCUUCGUCUAAAGUCCAGUGGUACGGAACUCGUAUUAUUUGACGGGGAUAUGGCCGGGUAUUUAAAUUAAAAAUAUUGGUCUUACAAUACAAAAUUCCAGAUGUCAUAUUACGUAUCACUGAAAAGCACAUUCUUUGCACUUUUCAAAUAUGUAAAUUAUUUUUUGGCACAUUUAUUUUUAUUUACUUUGAAAAACAAUCAAUGUUGGAUGGUACUAAAAUCUAUUACCAUGUUUACGCAGAGGUGGUGUGUUGUUGUCCACCAACAUGGCGGCGUCCUGUAUCUAGGUCAUGUAUCGGAUACCGGUACGCUCUAUAUAUAGGCAUAGACUAUAAUCAAAAUGGCCGAAGAGAAUUGAAUGUUUUGAUAGUUGAAUUUGAUUAGGACCUAAUGUGGCUUUGAACACACGGCAUGCAAGCAUGCCUGCCUUAUUUGACAUUAUAUUAUUUCAAAUUAUACUGCCACCAUGGGCCGUAGGCGUUAUAUAGCGAUUAGCGACGAUUCCCGAAUGAUCGAGAUUUACGGUCGGCAUUUCUUUUAUCAGGCUAACGCUUCAAAAUGUACACAAGUGAAUGACGAGUCUUAUGUAAAGCUAAUCUUACAAAUAAACUUGCUAUUUCUAUCAAUGUUUCAGGUACCUAUAAUAACAGACCAUCAUGUGUAGGCUACACGGUAAAAGUAAAAGUAAAUUUGCUGGAAAUUUGGUAAUCCUUGUAAGACUUGAUGUGUUGUGUAGGCUGCACGGUGCCGGUACAUAUUUAAAAUAUUUCAUUCAAUACCCGGUACGGUAUUUUAAAAGACCAAAGCCACCAAUAAUACUCAAUAAGCAAUACAUGUAGUUUUACAUCUGACUGUCAUAAAAUUUUGUAAAUGUAUAUGAUAGCCUAAUAUUGCUGUGAUAUUUAAGCAAAACUUUAUUAAUAUAACCAAAUAAUAAACUGGAUCUUAGUAAAGCAUCUAAAGAAUGGGCUAAUGUAAAGCAAAUUAAGAUUUGGCAAAUAAAAAUUCCAUUUGGCCAUAAAAUAUAUAAACAAUUUUGCAUGUGAAAGUGAUAGCUAUAAAUUGCUAUAUCCUAUGUUUACAAUAUUAUGCUGCUGACAUUUUAUUGUUGUUGAAAUGAGUUAGUGCAUAUUGCUUUAAGCGCUGGACGCAGUAGCCGAAUGAUUCUGCCGAAUGAAUCCGCGCUUAAUGAUUCGCGAAUCAAACAUGUUUGAUAUAUUUGCCCGAAUUAUAUUUAAUCACCAAUCAUAUCGAGAAGUCACGUGAUUGUUUGAAGACAUGGUUGCUGCCAUGUUUAAUCAUGCGAUGUCAAAGGUGAUGCAAUCGACUUGUGAAUCAGGUGAGAGUAUGCCCACUUAUUUGGCCGAAUGAUUCAGCUAGUGUAUCCACGACAGACCUUGUGAUUUCAUGUGCACACAUUAAGCACAAAACCAUUCAACCCCCACAUUGAAAAAAUGAAAUGAAAUGGGGUUUAACAUCCUACUAUUCUGCUCCUAUGCUGGGCUAAUGAAGACGGCAUACGCCAUACAGUGUGCUAUGAGGGAAAUUUUGCCCGGGCAGCGGGACUAUCGCCUACUCUUAUAUCGAAUUCCAACUGCCAAGGGAUCUUUUACGUGCAUUCUAAUGUAUACACGGGACCUCAGUUUUUCGUCUUAUCCGAAGGACUAGACAGCUGUCCUUGUCAGUCCCUCCGUGCUGCAUCACUGGCAAGGGGGAACCACGCCGGAAAAUCUCAAUGAACUUUCUCGGCCAAUGCAGGGAUCGAACCCCCGACCUCCAGGCUAGCGAGCCAGCGUCUUACUCACUUAGCCACGUGACCCCCUCCCACAUUGAAAAGAAAAGACACAAGCAAAGAACUAAAUGUUAGCCCAGAAGUUACCUGGUUUGUGUUGAGUGGACAUUAAACCCCAUUUUUCUCACUAUCUCAUAUACAAACACAAAAUGUGCUGUGGGAAAUUUUACCUUGACAGCUGCCAUAUGACCUACUCUUAUAUCAAAUUAAAACUGCCAUGGAUUCUUUUACAUGCUGGUUUCGAUUCGCUGUAUUAUAAAGUCUGUCAUUGAGUCAACUGGCGUGGUUUCAAUUCCCCGGCUGUACAAGACAAGGAGUAGGGUCGCCUGUCCAACCUCGUGGGUUUUCUCCGGGUCCUCCGGUUUCCUCCCACUGCUAAAGACCCCUACACGCAAGCGAAUUAUUGAAAUAAAAUUAUACCAUAUGAAAGGCCCCAAAUGACCUAGUUUGUAUCGACUGGACAUUAAACCCCAUUUCUCUCUCUCUCGGUCAGACAAUUUGGGAGAAUGCACAGACAGCGGUGCUAUAUGAACAGUAUGAACAACUAGAUGCUGUUUCUUGCCAGGACCCUUGUCCGACACCACUGUCAAUGGUAAAUUAUUCCGGAAAUCCUGAGUAAUUUUGUUGACAUGCCGGGAUCCAACCUGGGAUAAUUGAAGCAUUUAUUCUUAACACAAAAGAAUUACUCAUGCUCUUAUUAUCAAAAAACGUUCAAAAAAGACACCCAUUACAUAUGCCAUACAGUGUGCAAUGAGGCACUAAGGCCUUACAUGUAUCUUAUUUCAAAAUCCAACUGUCCAACUUUUACAUACACGCCAAUGUGCAUGUGUGAUGUCGGUUUUUUUUUGUUGUGCCAUCCGCACGACUAUACAACUGUUUCCUCCUGGUCCCCAUGGUUUUCUCCCACUACAAAAGACCCCUACAGCCAAAUAAUUGAAAAAAAAUUGAUCCAUGUGUUAGUCCUGCUAUGGCGUAGUUUGUGUAGAGUGGACAUUAAACUUCAUUUCUCUCCCUUCUUGCCAGGCCCUAUGUCCUGCACCACUGGAAAGGGGGAACCAAGGCGUAAAAUCUAGAAGAGCUUUCCUGGGCAAUGACAGGAUCGAACACGGGACGACUCGGAUAGUGUGCCAACAUCUCACUCACUGAGGGGGGGUGGAUGACCGUAUGGGUAGCACGUGCUCACUGUAUUAUAAAGUCUGUCAUUGAGUCAACUGGCAUGGUUUCGAUUCCCUGGCUGUACAAGACAAGGAGUAGGGUCGCCUGUCCAACCUUGUGGGUUUUCUCCGGGUCCUCCGAUUUCCUCCCACUGCUAAAGACCCCUAAGCGGAAGCGAAGUAUUGAAAUAAAAUUGAACCAUAUGUUAGUACCGAAAUGCCCUAGUUUGUGUCGAGUGGACAUUAAACCCCAUUUCUCUCUCUCACUCACUGAGCCACAGUGUCUCCCAAUAUCAAGCAAGAAUUUUCUUUGAUCUGACAAGCUGGAUUAUAUUCAAUAUACAUGUAAGAACCAGAAUUGUUUUAAUUUGAGACAAUUUUUUUAGAUGUGGUUUAAAAUUAUAUUACAUUCAUUAAAGUGAAAAGAAAUUGUACGACAUGUACUUGUAAAGUUGUUUGAUAUAUACAGUUUCAAAACAAAUUUGGUUUUGUAAAACAAAAAGUUACUGUAGGCCCUAUUGAAAUUUUCUCUUUCAGUAUUUGACCAAAUUUGUUAUUGAUGCCGACAAAAUUUGGUUUUGAUACCAUAAAUUAACCUUCCAAUACACCUAUGUAAACUUUUGAUAAUACCGGGGGUGGGUUUUGGAUGGCUGAAUGGUUAGCGUGAGUGCGUUGUAUCGUAAGGUCUGUUAUUGAGUCAACUGGCAUGGUUUUGAUUCCCCUGUUACGUGACUAGGAGUAGUCGCCUGUCCAACCUUGUGGGUUUUGUCCGGGUCCUCCGGUUUCCUCCCACUGCUAAAGACCCGUAUGUGCAUGCGCAAAUUUUUGAAAUAAAAUUGAACCAUAUGUUAGUCUCAAAAAGACAUUAAGUAGGUCUGUAGUCUAUAUUAAAAUUGCGAGAAUCUGUCAUUUAAAAAAAACAGUCCUAGGCCUAAGUAGGCCCUGAAAUGAAAUGAAAUAGGGUUUAACGUCCUACUGUUCUGCUCCUGGUUUUGAUUCCCCAGUUACGUGAAGAGGAGUAGUCGCCUGUCCAACCUUGUGGGUUUUCUCCGGGUCCUCCGGUUUCCUCCAACUGCUAAAGACCCCUACGUGCAUGCGCAAAUUAUUGAAAUAAAAUUGAACCAUAUGUUAGUCUCAAAAAGACAUUAAGUAGGUCUGUAGUCUAUAUUGAAAUUGCGAGAAUCUGGCAUUAAAAUAAAAAACAGUCCUAGGCCUGCGUAGGCCCAGAAAUGAAAUGAAAUGGGUUUCACAUCCUACUGUUCUGCUCCAGGUUUUGAUUCCCCAGUUACGUGAACUAGAUCUAUGCAGAGAAUUGAUUUAUUCAUUUCAUUUUCAUGGCAUAUCAUUGCCAUUGUGAUUGUCGAAUUGAGGCGCCAUGGGUGUGUGGACGAGUUGACCUAUGCCGUGUCAACGACUAACCAGUGUACAUGUAUUUUAAUAUUUGUGGACUACAUAACUAGACUUUUUGUGUGGACGAGUUAACUGGCAUUCAUUUUGAAUGAUUACAGUUGAUUUCGGUAAAUUUAAACUGUGGUACACUGUAUUGGUACUUGAAAAAAGGUGAAUUUAUUUCGUCUUUAUUUUUUUUUUCAGAGGUUGUAAAUUAAUAAUCCACCAGUGCAGUAUGUGAAAAAUGUGUCUAGACAAGAUGAAAAAUUCCAAUUUUAAAGUAAAGAAUUCAAAGACGUGUAUGACAUGAUGCGAAACACUCAUUACCUUAUGCAUGUAUGGUGAGCUUGUGACCCGGAUGGAUGAAUGAUGGAAAGACACAUAAGUGCUGUAUACAGUAUUUGGUAUAAAUCAGUCAUUGAAAGUCAUUACAGCUGAAGAUUUUAAUGACGCUCUGUACUGGUACUAACAAUGUUGAUUACAGUCAAUGGAAGGUUAAUCAAACCAGAAUAACAGCACCUAUGAAUGUGGUCGAAUAAGGUGUGGAGGUGAUUAAUAGCAACAUUGAAUGUGGGUUGAAUAUGGUGUGUUAAAGAUGCAAGAAAACACACGAAAUGUGUAAACUGUAAUGGAUUAUAGCCUGGCGCUAUCCAAAUUACAAAACACCUGCCCUUGAGUCUAUAAUUAUUUAUUUUUUAUGGCACCCACAUUUUCAUGUCGCUGCCUCUGUUCGUCCAGAUGUACCUCCGGUGAAAUUUGUUUGUGGUCACAAUUAUCCGAUUUUAAUGAAAUUUAAAUGUAUAUUUAUAUUCAAAUCAUCUGGGAUCAGAUUCAUUUUGAACUCUAACCUCAUGGAUUAUGGCCCCUUAUAUUGUGGUAAAUUGGGUUUUUAGCAUGUGGGCCCAUCCAGAGGAUUUUGGCAUAGAAUAUUACACCUGAUUGUACGAUCCAUUGUUUUUAACUUCUGGAUCCUCUAGAAUUCGCAGUUUUAUAUGCCAACAUUUCCCAUGCCUGAAUUAACCCCUCUUUGCUGAAGAUUUGACUUUCGAGUUCAGAGUUAUGCCCCAUAGCCAAAAACUUUGAAUUUGAUAGGAGUUACAGUUUUUAACCGGUCCUUUUCAGAUUUGGUGUGAAGCAUUGGAUUCAUGAGAUCACAAACCCCAACGAUAUGCAGUGAUUAGAAGAUAACCUUUUCAAAAAAGCUUGUGAGUGUGAUGAGGCUACAAUUUAUUAAUUUGCCGUGUAGCUUUGGCACCAUGAGAGGACAAAUCCAAUAAAUUUCAGCAAUCCACACUUAACCCACUUUUUUGGAAACCAUGUGAACGUGAUAAAGCUACAAUUUUUUUAACAGAUUUUUUUCUAAUUCUAUAUGAAACAUUGGGACAAUGAGUGGAUUAGCCUUAUUUAUAUUCCUUAUUCUCUUUUGCAAUAUGUGGGUGUAUCUUAGAUGGCAACCACUUGUUAAUUGUAUCAAUUGUGUUGUAAUAUUUUGAAAACAAUAAUAAAUAUCAAAGUGUUA